ACUUUGCAAUAUGAGUUUAAAUAAAACUUGUUUUUAAGAUUGUGUAAAAUGCUUUUUUAUUUCUUUUUUAGUGCCAUUAUCAUCUGCUUCAAAUGUGCCAUCUUUAUCUGCUCCAAUUGUUCUAUCUUCAUCUGCUCCAACUGGUAAGGUUAACUG
Molecule: long non-coding RNA, 156 nt
Organism: Hydra vulgaris (swiftwater hydra)
Lineage: Eukaryota; Metazoa; Cnidaria; Hydrozoa; Anthoathecata; Hydridae
Source: RefSeq, a predicted model, not a curated record